RNAcentral lists this ribosomal RNA (826 nucleotides) under Dyadobacter sp. B2. RNAcentral's name for it is "bacterial SSU rRNA". It matches the Rfam family "Bacterial small subunit ribosomal RNA", at positions 26 to 863 of the family's 1533-position model. Lineage: Bacteria; Pseudomonadati; Bacteroidota; Cytophagia; Cytophagales; Spirosomataceae. The record is from RNAcentral.
AGGAUGAACGCUAGCGGCAGGCUUAAUACAUGCAAGGCGAAGGGGCAGCAAUGUCACUGUCGUACGGGUGCGUAACGCGUAUGCAACCUACCUAUAACUGGGGGAUAGCCCGGGGAAACCCGGAUUAAUACCGCAUAAUACAUGGAUGUAGCAUUACAUUUUUUGUUAAAGAUUUAUUGGUUAUAGAUGGGCAUGCGUUCGAUUAGCUAGUUGGUAUGGGUAACGGCCUACCAAGGCGACGAUCGAUAGGGGAGCUGAGAGGUUGAUCCCCCACACGGGCACUGAGAUACGGGCCCGACUCCUACGGGAGGCAGCAGUAGGGAAUAUUGGGCAAUGGAUGCAAGUCUGACCCAGCCAUGCCGCGUGCCGGAUGAAGGCCCUCAGGGUUGUAAACGGCUUUUAUUCGGGAAGAAGAGCAGGGAUGCGUCCUUGUGUGACGGUACCGAAUGAAUAAGCACCGGCUAACUCCGUGCCAGCAGCCGCGGUAAUACGGAGGGUGCGAGCGUUGUCCGGAUUUAUUGGGUUUAAAGGGUGCGUAGGUGGCUUUAUAAGUCAGUGGUGAAAUACAGCCGCUCAACGGUUGAGGUGCCAUUGAUACUGUAGAGCUUGAAAUAAUUGGAGGCUGCCGGAAUGGAUGGUGUAGCGGUGAAAUGCAUAGAUAUCAUCCAGAACACCGAUUGCGAAGGCAGGUGGCUACGAUUUAUUUGACACUGAGGCACGAAAGCAUGGGGAGCAAACAGGAUUAGAUACCCUGGUAGUCCAUGCCGUAAACGAUGAGGACUCGCUGUUUGGCUGUCACGGCUGAGCGGCUUAGGGAAACCGUUAA